AUGGAAUUCUCAACUUAUAAAUCCUUGUGAUCUAUAAGCUUGGACUUGGAGGCUUGCUGGCCCUUGCGGUCGGCUCCUCUUGAAUGCAUUAGCUUGAUUCCGUACGGAUCGGCUCUCAGUGUGAUAAUUGUCUACGCUGUGACCGUGAAGUGUUUUGGCAAGCUUCUAACCGUCCAUUAGGACAACUUUUUAACAUCU
Molecule: unclassified non-coding RNA, 198 nt
Filed under: Trametes versicolor
Lineage: Eukaryota; Fungi; Basidiomycota; Agaricomycetes; Polyporales; Polyporaceae
Description: ITS2
Source: RNAcentral